RNAcentral lists this non-coding RNA (27 nucleotides) under Homo sapiens (human). Lineage: Eukaryota; Metazoa; Chordata; Mammalia; Primates; Hominidae. The record is from RNAcentral.
UGCCUUGAAAGAAAGGACCCAGUCCUG